Molecule: long non-coding RNA, 1174 nt
Organism: Clupea harengus (Atlantic herring)
Lineage: Eukaryota; Metazoa; Chordata; Actinopteri; Clupeiformes; Clupeidae
Source: Ensembl
GCAGCCAUGUUGAAGAGCCACACUGGCAGUCAAACCCAACAGUAGAUGGAGUGUUGAUGGAGUGUUGUGGGAUUGGGGUGAAACCAAUAGCAACAGCAGCUAGAGGCAGAUGAUGGUAGAUGGAGGUAGAUGGAGUGUUGUGGGACUGGGGUGAGAUGUGAGUGUUGAUGGAGUGUUGUGGAGGGUUGAUGGAGUGUUGAUGGAGUGUUGUGGGACUGGGGUGAGAUGUGAGUGUUGAUGGAGUGUUGAUGGAGUGUUGUGGAGGGUUGAUGGAGUGUUGAUGGAGUGUUGUGGGACUGGGGUGAGAUGUGAGUGUUGAUGGAGGGUUGAUGGAGUGUUGAUGGAGUGUUGUGGAGUGUUGAUGGAGUGUUGAUGGAGUGUUGAUGGAGUGUUGUGGAGUGUUGAUGGAGUGUUGAUGGAGUGUUGAUGGAGUGUUGAUGGAGUGUUGUGGGAGUGUUGAUGAGAUGUGUGUGUUGAUGGAGUGUUGAUGGAGUGUUGUGGGACUGGGGUGAGAUGUGAGUGUUGAUGGAGUGUUGAUGGAGUGUUGUGGAGGGUUGAUGGAGUGUUGAUGGAGUGUUGUGGAGUGUUGAUGGAGUGUUGAUGGAGUGUUGAUGGAGUGUGAUGGAGUGUUGAUGGAGCGUUGAUGGAGCGUUGAUGGAGCGUUGAUGGAGUGUUGAUGGAGUGUUGAUCGAGUGUUGAUGGAGUGUAGAUGGAGUGUUGAUGGAGUGUUGAUGGAGUGUUGAUGGAGCGUUGAUCGAGUGUUGUGGGAGUGUUGAUGGAGUGUUGAUGGAGUGUUGUGGGAUUGGGGUGAAACCAAUAGCAACAGCAGCUAGAGUCAGAUGGAGUGUUGAUGGAGUGUUGAUGGAGUGUGGAUGGAGUGUGGAUGGAGUGUUGAUGGAGUGUUCAUGGAGUGUUGAUGGAGUGUUGUGGAGUGUUGAUGGAGUGUUGAUGGAGUGUUGUGGGACUGGGGUGAGAUGUGAGUGUUGAUGGAGUGUUGAUGGAUGUCGUGGAGUGUUGGUGGAGUGUUGAUGGAGUGUUGAUGGAGCGUUGAUGGAGCGUUGAUGGAGUGUUGAUGCAGUGUUGAUGGAUUGUGAUGAGAUGUGAGUGUACUGAAUGAGAAUGAUCUCAGGAGAAUGACAGGGAGUGCUUUGGCUGUGACUGUGACCGCUGGGGC